GUGYCAAAAAGUCUCCUAUCAUCUCAUCUGAAAAAUAUCAAACGAMUUACUUUUCURUUUCAACAUAUGUUUUUAGCGCAUGUUAGCAUGAUUUGUGGACUUGGUGACCCUUAGGAGUUCUUUGUUCCAACGAAUAAAAAAAUACAGCAAACCAUCCGGGUACAUUAGGAUCAGCUUCCUGGUAGAGCAAUUUUGAGUUAAUGGAUGCUUUAGUUGAAAACCCUGUGCCCGAGGGAAAUAUAGGAAGGUCGCAGACCUUUUAAAUUUUCUAUGGAUUGUAUAUUAUUUGUAAUAUAUGUAUUUUGAUUA
This is a long non-coding RNA of Dendroctonus ponderosae (mountain pine beetle), 309 nucleotides long. RefSeq lists it as uncharacterized. Lineage: Eukaryota; Metazoa; Arthropoda; Insecta; Coleoptera; Curculionidae. The transcript is spliced from 2 exons. The record is from RefSeq and is a predicted model, not a curated record.